RNAcentral lists this ribosomal RNA (422 nucleotides) under uncultured bacterium. RNAcentral's name for it is "bacterial SSU rRNA". It matches the Rfam family "Bacterial small subunit ribosomal RNA", at positions 358 to 773 of the family's 1533-position model. The record is from RNAcentral.
AGAAUUUUUCACAAUGGGCGAAAGCCUGAUGGAGCGACGCCGCGUGGGGGAUGAAUGGCUUCGGCCCGUAAACCCCUGUCAUUUGCGAACAAACCUUGUCCGCUAAUAUCGGGCAGGCUGAUUGUAGCGAAAGAGGAAGGGACGGCUAACUAUGUGCCAGCAGCCGCGGUAAUACAGAGGUCCCGAGCGUUGUUCGGAUUCACUGGGCGUAAAGGGUGCGUAGGUGGUUGGGUAAGUCUGUUGUGAAAUCCCGGAGCUUAACUCCGGAACGGCAUCGGAUACUAUCUGACUUGAGGGUUGAAGGGGGGACUGGAAUUCUCGGUGUAGCAGUGAAAUGCGUAGAUAUCGAGAGGAACACCAGUGGCGAAGGCGAGUCCCUGGACAAUACCUGACGCUGAGGCACGAAAGCUAGGGGAGCAAAC